This 131-nucleotide microRNA precursor is filed under the name Phlebotomus papatasi. RNAcentral's name for it is "microRNA mir-3". Lineage: Eukaryota; Metazoa; Arthropoda; Insecta; Diptera; Psychodidae. The record is from RNAcentral.
UGUUCGGUGCUACCUCGUGUUCGGUGGUGCCCUAAUUUCCUUUAUGUAGAGCGUACGGCCUAUUCGACACGUGUCAACCCUGUCGAUGGCCAGAAAACUGGGGCAUCACUGAGCACGGGGUAGCACUGAAU